RNAcentral lists this transfer RNA (73 nucleotides) under Nodopelta heminoda. RNAcentral describes it as "tRNA-Gln". The record is from RNAcentral. Lineage: Eukaryota; Metazoa; Mollusca; Gastropoda; Neomphalida; Peltospiridae.
UAUAAGGUAUCAUAAUUUGGUAAUGAUUGGAUUUUUGGGUUCCAUUAUAAAAGUUCGAAGCUUUUUCUUAUAA